AAUAUUAUAUUGUUUAUAUAUAUAUAUAUAUAUAUAUAUAUGUAUUAUGUGUAUAACAUAUAACUCAUAUAAGUACAUACCUCGCACGUAGGUAUGUUAUUAAUAAUAAUAAUAAAUCUGGUAGUCACUAAUCCUCCGCGUCGGAUCGCCGACAGACCCGAGUCCGAGAUUUCCUACAUCGAUUAUUCUUAUAAUAUCCUCGUUUACAACGGACUUAAGACUUCACUAUUUCAGAGAGUGCCCAACCGACCACCACCGCCAGUAUGACCAUUGACGAUUUGAUAUUUGAAUUAUUAAUUUACUAUUGUGAAUUACAAUCGCCGUAAUAGUCAACUGUAGGCUAUGGGUACGUCCCACCAAGAUUUAAGAUAAUAUUAUCUUAAAUCGUGUGUCCCGCGAAUUAACAUUGUAAUAAGUAAUAACUAAUAUAUUAUAAUAUCUUUAACCGUGGUCCAUCCACUCCAUCCGUCCAGUGUCCCACCGUAUUACCGUAAAACGGUAAAAGACUUAAGACAUUAUUAUUUAUUAUUAUCAAUAGAAAAAAAAACAUUUGUCUGUUAUCAACACUUACUUGAUGUUACGAACGGUUUCAACCAGCGUCGGGCUACCCACAGGCAAAAUAAUCAGGUGAUUGGAGCAGCGAAUUUGGCCCACUUAAAAAAUAAAAAAUAAAAUAUAUUUAUAAUAUUGUAAUAUAAUUUUAUACGACGGCAAAUAGCGUAAUCCGCCACUGUUUUCAACAACACCACUAUUCCAAAAUCCACUAUUAACCAUCACGCCCCCCCAACCACUCCUACCGUAGAAUAAGCGUGCAACAGCAACAGCUGUUAUGAUGAUCGAACAGGAACGGACCGAAUAUUACCUGAUAAUUUAAUCUAUUCUGUGAUAAUGAUAAGUGAGUUGAUAUGCACCAGCCACCAACCCGUACGAACCGACGUCUACCUACACCCGGGCUGCUGAUAUGUUACGCAAAUUCGUAACUAGACAACGGAGCUUGUCUUGGACAAAAAUCAUAAUAGCUUCUGCAAUAGGAGUGCUUGGUGGAGUGUACGUUUGGAAGCCGUUUUUCGAAUCUUUGGACACCGAACGUUACAAGAAAAUUAAGGAAGAAUGAAUAAGAACACAAAAACAACACAACCUGGUGGUCCACUCGCUGGUAAUUUCAACAAAAUUCUAGCGUUUGUUGGUUUUGGAUGGCUUGCAUCCAUGGUGCUUGUUAGAUACGUAAUAAAACCAUAUAGAAUAGAAGCAAGGAUGAAAGAAAAUGAAAUACUUAUGAAUCAACUUUAUGAAAAACAAAAUUCACAAGAAAAUAAAAAAAGUGAAUUUGAUGAUGAAAAUUAUUAAUGUUAUAUCAAUGUUUUCAACUUUUUUGGUAUCUACUCAUGUUUUGUUGUAUAGUAAAUACAUUUAGUUGAAUAUUUUUAUUUAUAAAUGUACAUUAAAUGUUAUAGCCAUUUAGAAUCAAAUGGUAUAUCUCAUGUAAAUGAUUAAAUUAAUAAAUAAAUAAAAUUAUUUUCUUUUUUUUAAA
Long non-coding RNA from Rhopalosiphum padi (bird cherry-oat aphid), 1531 nucleotides. RefSeq lists it as uncharacterized. The record is from RefSeq and is a predicted model, not a curated record. The transcript has 2 exons. NCBI's taxonomy places the organism in Eukaryota, Metazoa, Arthropoda, Insecta, Hemiptera, Aphididae.